Callithrix jacchus (white-tufted-ear marmoset) is the source of this 1099-nucleotide long non-coding RNA. RefSeq lists it as uncharacterized. Lineage: Eukaryota; Metazoa; Chordata; Mammalia; Primates; Cebidae. The record is from RefSeq and is a predicted model, not a curated record.
CAUGGUCUAAUCACAGGAAGCUUCUCCUCAUUCUUUAGACUCUUCUUUUUUUUCUUUUUAAGACCAAGUUUCGCUCUUGUUACCCAGACUGGAGUGCAAUGGCGCAAUCUCAGUUCACUGCAACCUCUGCCUUCUGGGUUCAAGCAAUUCUCUUGCCUCAGCCCCUGAGUAGCUGGGACUACAGGCUCUCCCAGCAAUAGAGUUUCAAAGUUCAAAAUGAUCUCAGGACAAGGGUUAACUCCGAGCUGCUGCUACUACCUUUACAACAUGGCUUUAAAGCUCGUGGAUGUUCUUUUGUUGACCUCUCAGAAAGAUCUGAAGAAAGCCCUAAGUCCCAGCAAAAAAGGACUAUGUCAGAACCAAAUGUGUAUAUGGAUUUCUCUAAUGGUCUCAAUCAUCAUUGAUACACAGGGUUCCUGUAAAGCUUUUAUGGAAAAAUAGACUGAGACUCAGCUCAAUAGUUUCCAGGAAACAAGACUGGACCCUAGCUAAGCCACUACCUGGAUACCACCAUGGAUACCACAUGAAGAAUUGCCCAGCCAAACUCCAUCCAAAUUUUGAUCCACAAAAUCCUGAGAUAUAACAAAAUGGCUGUUUUAAGCUACUACAUUUUGCAGUGAUUCGUUAUGGUGUAAUAGUUAAUAAACACAUAUUUCAUACUGGUUCUAAAAAUACAUAAUUAUAUUUUCAAUAUCACUAACCUCUAAAGCCAUUGAAUUAAAAUGUAUGCUCUUUGUUAAACUGGACAAAGAGUCUUUGCAGAUGCAACCAAGUUAAGAUAAAGUCUUCCUGGAUUACGGGAGGUUCUAAGGUAAUGACUGCUGUCCUUAUAUAAAGUGGGAAGUUUGGACCUCAUCUUACCAGGUAAAGGCCAUGUGAACAUAGAGGCAGAGAUUGGAGUGAUGCAUUUACAAGCCAAGGAUUGCUGACAACCACCAGAAACAAAGAAGGAAUCUUUCCCUAGAGCUGGCUCUGCUGACAUCUUGACUCUGGACUUCUAGCUUCAAGAACUAUAAGUUAAUAAAUAUCUGUUGUUUUAAGUCACCUGAUUUGUAGACCUUGUUCCUGCAGCCCUGAGUAACUAAUAAAGUCUCCUACA